Molecule: long non-coding RNA, 905 nt
Organism: Daphnia carinata
Lineage: Eukaryota; Metazoa; Arthropoda; Branchiopoda; Diplostraca; Daphniidae
Exons: 2
Source: RefSeq, a predicted model, not a curated record
UCGACGUUUGCCUCUGGCUGAAUGCUCAAGUUUUGGCCGUUGUUGUUACAAUAAUAGUUGUACUAGUGUAGCAAAAGAAGAAAAACUGCUUUUGGCAAAUAUUUGGAGCAUGAAUAUCCAAAUGAGAACGAAAUAACGAAUGCUGACGAAACUUGUAAUGCCACCAACAAAGAAAGCAUUGUGUAGCAAGUUAGUGCGUGACGUCAAGCGCCAAGUUGAACGAUGGCGUCACGGGAGGAAAAGUUUACUUCUCGGGUUGUUGCGCCACCUGUUGGUUUGAAUGCCACAUUCUUUUGCAAUGGACAGAAAUAAAUACGAAACAUACGUCAAUUUCCGUUUCAUCCAAAGAACAAUUUAUUAUGUAUUCGAAGACAACAACAAAAAAAAAAGAUGGUGGACAUAAUGGCUUUCUGAUGAAGACGGAAUAGUGUGUGUAAAGCAACAACGUCAUAUCAAAUUAAAGAACAACUUUUAAUGGUGGCUUCCUUUUUUUUAUCGGAGAAUUAAACAAAAAAAAAACGUUGAAUUUUAUGUUUUGUUUUCUUGUAUCACUGGAAGAAUUAAGCGCCAAAUGUGUGUCUAUGUGGGAAUUAUCGUUUCGAAAUUAUAAGUCUCCGAUACAAGUGAAAGAGUUAUACAAGGAUAAUUAAUUAUGUAUAUAUAACAUCAUUCAAUAUCGCGUUUUUUUUCCUAUUUUGUAGGGCGUGGUUUCCUCGUUUUUGGCGAUGUUUUGGCGAGUUUUAAAGAAACAAAAAUAAAAAUGUGUGGAAGCUGAAAUAAGAAAUAAAACUCACGCACCGCGAGAUACACACAUACAGAAAACAAGAAAUCCGGACGAACGUGACACACAAACACUCACACAGAAGGGGGCGGUUUUUUUUUUGUUUUGGUAUGGUUAAAAGAAU